Molecule: long non-coding RNA, 796 nt
Filed under: Salmo salar (Atlantic salmon)
Lineage: Eukaryota; Metazoa; Chordata; Actinopteri; Salmoniformes; Salmonidae
Description: lncRNA (ENSSSAG00000118971.1)
Rfam family: UnaL2 LINE 3' element (bases 26-79)
Source: RNAcentral
UUGUUCCACUGGAUAUUAUAAGGUGAAUGCACCAAUUUGUAAGUCGCUCUGGAUAAGAGCGUCUGCUAAAUGACUUAAAUGUAAAUGUAAAUGUUAGAGGUAGUACUGGGGCUGGGGUUAGAGGUAGUACUGGGGCUGGGGUUAGAGGUAGUACUGGGGUUAGAGGUAGUACUGGGAUUAGAGGUAGUACUGGGGCUGGGGUUAGAAGUAGUACUGGGGUUAGAGGUAGUACUGGGACUAGAGAUAGUACUAGGGCUGGGGUUAGAGGUAGUACUAGGGCUGGGGUUAGAGGUAGUACUGGGGCUGGGGUUAGAGGUAGUACUGGGGCUGGGGUUAGAGGUAGUACUGGGGUUAGAGGUAGUACUGGGGCUGGGGUUAGAGGUAGUACUGGGGUUAGAGGUAGUACUGGGGUUAGAGGUGGUACUGGGGUUAGAGGUAGUACUGGGGUUAGAGGUAGUACUGGGGUUAGAGGUAGUACUGGGGUUAGAGGUAGUACUGGGGUUAGAGGUAGUACUGGGGUUAGAGGUGGUACUGGGGUUAGAGGUAGUACUGGGGUUAGAGGUAGUACUGGGGUUAGAGGUAGUACUGGGGUUAGAGGUGGUACUGGGGUUAGAGGUAGUACUGGGGUUAGAGGUAGUACUGGGGUUAGAGGUGGUACUGGUGUUAGAGGUAGUACUGGGGUUAGAGGUGGUACUGGGGUUAGAGGUAGUACUGGUGUUAGAGGUAGUACUGGGGUUAGAGGUAGUGCUGGGGGUUAGAGGUAGUACUGGCGUUAGAGGUAGUACUGGGGUUAGAG